RNAcentral lists this ribosomal RNA (497 nucleotides) under uncultured bacterium. RNAcentral describes it as "partial 16S ribosomal RNA". It matches the Rfam family "Bacterial small subunit ribosomal RNA", at positions 28 to 507 of the family's 1533-position model. The record is from RNAcentral.
GACGAACGCUGGCGGCGUGCCUAAUACAUGCAAGUUGAGCGAUGAAGAUUGGUGCUUGCACCAAUUUGAAGAGCAGCGAACGGGUGAGUAACGCGUGGGGAAUCUGCCUUUGAGCGGGGGACAACAUUUGGAAACGAAUGCUAAUACCGCAUAACAACUUUAAACAUAAGUUUUAAGUUUGAAAGAUGCAAUUGCGUCACUCAAAGAUGAUCCCGCGUUGUAUUAGCUAGUUGGUGAGGUAAAGGCUCACCAAGGCGAUGAUACAUAGCCGACCUGAGAGGGUGAUCGGCCACAUUGGGACUGAGACACGGCCCAAACUCCUACGGGAGGCAGCAGUAGGGAAUCUUCGGCAAUGGACGAAAGUCUGACCGAGCAACGCCGCGUGAGUGAAGAAGGUUUUCGGAUCGUAAAACUCUGUUGGUAGAGAAGAACGUUGGUGAGAGUGGAAAGCUCAUCAAGUGACGGUAACUACCCAGAAAGGGACGGCUAACUACGUG